This 276-nucleotide ribosomal RNA is filed under the name uncultured prokaryote. RNAcentral describes it as "partial 16S ribosomal RNA". It matches the Rfam family "Bacterial small subunit ribosomal RNA", at positions 524 to 801 of the family's 1533-position model. The record is from RNAcentral.
UACGUAUGGGGCGAGCGUUGUCCGGAAUUAUUGGGCGUAAAGGGUUCGCAGGCGGUUCCUUAAGUCAGAUGUUAAAUGCAUAGGCUCAACCUAUGAGUGCAUUUGAAACUGGGGAACUUGAGUUAAGGAGAGGAAAGUGGAAUUCCUAGUGUAGCGGUGAAAUGCGUAGAUAUUAGGAGGAAUACCAGUGGCGAAGGCGACUUUCUGGACUUAAACUGACGCUGAGGAACGAAAGCAUGGGUAGCAAACAGGAUUAGAUACCCGGUAGUCCCUGAG